GCAUAUCAAUAAGCGGAGGAAAAGAAACCAACAGGGAUUGCCUCAGUAACGGCGAGUGAAGCGGCAACAGCUCAAAUUUGAAAUCUGGCCUCACGGUCCGAGUUGUAAUUUGUAGAGGAUGCUUUUGGCGAGGUGCUUUCCGAGUUCCCUGGAACGGGACGCCAUAGAGGGUGAGAGCCCCGUACGGUAAGACCACCGAGCCUCUGUAAAGCUCCUUCGACGAGUCGAGUAGUUUGGGAAUGCUGCUCUAAAUGGGAGGUGUACGUCUUCUAAAGCUAAAUACCGGCCAGAGACCGAUAGCGCACAAGUAGAGUGAUCGAAAGAUGAAAAGCACUUUGAAAAGAGGGUUAAAAAGUACGUGAAAUUGUUGAAAGGGAAGCAUUCAUGACCAGACUUGGGCUUGGUUGAACAUCCGGCGUUCUCGCCGGUGCACUCUGCCAGUCCAGGCCAGCAUCAGUUUGCCCCGGGGGACAAAGGCGGUGGGAAUGUGGCUCUCUUCGGGGAGUGUUAUAGCCCGCCGUGUAAUGCCCUGGGGCGGACUGAGGAACGCGCUUCGGCACGGAUGCUGGCGUAAUGGUCAUCAAUGACCCGUCUUGAAACACGGACCAAGGAGUCGUCUUCGUAUGCGAGUGUUCGGGUGUCAAACCCCUACGCGUAAUGAAAGUGAACGUAGGUGAGAGCUUCGGCGCAUCACCGACCGAUCCUGAUGUUCUCGGAUGGAUUUGAGUAAGAGCAUACGGGGCCGGACCCGAAAGAAGGUGAACUAUGCCUGUAUAGGGUGAAGCCAGAGGAAACUCUGGUGGAGGCUCGCAGCGGUUCUGACGUGCAAAUCGAUCGUCAAAUAUGGGCAUGGGGGGCGAAAGACUAAUCGAACCUUCUAGUAGCUGGGUUUCCGCCGA
RNAcentral lists this ribosomal RNA (899 nucleotides) under Sarocladium strictum. Its description in RNAcentral is "LSU rRNA". It matches the Rfam family "Eukaryotic large subunit ribosomal RNA", at positions 38 to 964 of the family's 3401-position model. The record is from RNAcentral. Lineage: Eukaryota; Fungi; Ascomycota; Sordariomycetes; Hypocreales; Sarocladiaceae.